GUGAAGCGGCAACAGCUCAAAUUUGAAAUCUGGCUCACGCCCGAGUUGUAAUUUGCAGAGGAUGCUUCGGGCGCGGCGCUUUCCAAGUCCCCUGGAACGGGGCGCCACAGAGGGUGAGAGCCCCGUCUGGUUGGCCGCCAAGCCUGUGUGAAGCUCCUUCGACGAGUCGAGUAGUUUGGGAAUGCUGCUCUAAAUGGGAGGUAGACCCCUUCUAAAGCUAAAUACCGGCCAGAGACCGAUAGCGCACAAGUAGAGUGAUCGAAAGAUGAAAAGCACUUUGAAAAGAGGGUUAAAAAGUACGUGAAAUUGUUGAAAGGGAAGCGCUUGUGACCAGACGUGUGCCGGGCGUUCAGCGGGCGUUCUCGCCCGUGUAUUCGCCCCGGUGCAGGCCAGCGUCGGUUCGCGCGGGGGGAUAAAGGCGUCAGGAACGUAGCUCUUUCGGGAGUGUUAUAGCCUGGCGCGCCAUGCCCCCGCCUGGACCGAGGUUCGCGCUCCGCAAGGACGCUGGCGUAAUGGUCCCCAGCGGCCCGUCUUGAAACACGGACCAAGGAGUCGAGGUUUUGCGCGAGUGUCUGGGUGUCAAACCCGCACGCGUAAUGAAAGUGAACGCAGGUGGGAGCUUCGGCGCACCACCGACCGAUCCUGAUGUUCUCGGAUGGAUUUGAGUACGAGCGUAGGGCCUCGGACCCGAAAGAUGGUGAACUAUACUUGGAUAGGGUGAAGCCAGAGGAAACUCUGGUGGAGGCUCGCAGCGGUUCUGACGUGCAAAUCGAUCGUCAAAUCUGAG
This 787-nucleotide ribosomal RNA is filed under the name Pseudodinemasporium fabiforme. RNAcentral's name for it is "eukaryotic LSU rRNA". It matches the Rfam family "Eukaryotic large subunit ribosomal RNA", at positions 93 to 915 of the family's 3401-position model. Lineage: Eukaryota; Fungi; Ascomycota; Sordariomycetes; Chaetosphaeriales; Chaetosphaeriaceae. The record is from RNAcentral.